Molecule: long non-coding RNA, 4333 nt
Filed under: Marmota monax (woodchuck)
Lineage: Eukaryota; Metazoa; Chordata; Mammalia; Rodentia; Sciuridae
Source: RNAcentral
CUGCUUGGAUCCCCACCCUCUCCAUGGUUCUCUUGGGGCCCCCUCAGUUGGCCAAUAAGGGAUGGGCUGGAACCCAUGGCUGCCCCAUCCUCUGUCAUUAUUCUACAAAUGUCUUCAGAGUGGCCUGCUCCUCGGUCACGGCAACCUCCCUGGAUGGAAUCUCAGGACUAGCUUCACUGUUCUUAAGUAAGUGCUGCUGCAAUGUGUCAAGCUGCUCUCUAGAACACAGGCAGUUUGCCACCCCUUAUCUGUAACUCGUAGCUUUAGCCAGGAUUCAGAGACACAGGAACCACCCCCCACCACCACCACCCAUGGCCUGUUAAAGCUUUGCAAUGUGUAUCUGCCUGAUUUUAGCUUUAUUAAAGGCAACAUGGAUACACAGAGGCAUCUCACCCCCUGUCUGGAAGCUGCCAGCAGCCAGUGUCCGCGGCUCUCCCACGGCCUUGCUCUCAUGGUGCUAAGGAUACACAGCUCAUCCCCUGGAGCCGUGCUGGUUAAAGCCUGAGGUGGGAAACAACACUGCGGGCUGUUGCUUCCUGGAGCCGGGAGGUCAGCAGUCAUUUUUCCAGCUCUUUGCCGUGUCUAAUGACUGCUGCAGCCGCAGCAGGGAGAUGGAGUGUACCCAUCUCAUCGUGCCCUGGAGGAGGCCCCAGGGAUCCUCCAAGAUCGUGAUGCACUGGAAAAUGAAACCAACCACUGAGACAGAAGCCAGAAGGAGGCCCGGGUUUCAUGUUUUUCAAAUUUUAUUUUUAUUUCAGAAACCAUGGUGCCAAAAAACCCUUACCUGGAAUUUCAUUGCCUUAAGGAAUUUUUCUGGCCAAAGUGGGGCUGGGGCUGGGUGCUAACUCCUAUCUUGAUCUGCUUCCUCUCCUCAUGGUCCUGACAGGACUCUGAGGGACCUUGGGGAUGUACCGAGCAGAGAUGAAGAAAACACGCCUGUUGUCAGAAGACAGGAUUUGGAUACGGCGGUAUUACAGGACUUCUACAGGGUCUAGCAGCCUGAGUUGCAGUAGGCAAAGCCCGGCGUGUACUGUGGAGGGUGGAGACAGGUGGCUUAGCAGUAACUAGUAAAAGGACAAUUGGGGAACUUUUCCAUAAUUGGGAGGCUUACAGUAUGGCAUGAUGGUCAAAAAGCAUUGAUAAACCUGGAUUUAUGAAUGGGACUGUAAGUCAGACCAAGACUUAGAGGCCCAUCUUGUCUCCUUCCUUCACCCCGCUUCUCAUCAUAGCCAGUUGAUCAGGAGAGGGUAUUUGUCUGCUCACCAGAAAUUGCUCAGGCAACCUGUUGCUGCAACACUGCCGACCUGGUUGAUGGUGAUAAAGUAGAAACACCAAGGACUCUCUCUCCCUGUGGAGGUCUUGAAUUUAAAUCACAGAGAAUAUUUUAGGGAAAGACCACAAAUGACACCCUCCCAAGGAGGCAGAAGAAGUCAAGAGGCAUCCUGCACAGCAAGGAAGGUGGAGCCUGGAAUAUGUAGCUGCAGGAAGACAAGACAAAUGGAGAGGUGGCUGUGGAAGGUGGCUGGUGUCAACAGCAACAGAAGCAGAGACAGGGUGGAGGAGGGUCCCCUGCGAAGCGGCUAAAUUUCCCCGUGUUUGGAACUGCAUCAGAUCCUGAAUUACCCCACAGUUUUCAAAGCGUGUCUUGAUACUAAUCCAUCCCGGGGUUUCUAUGAUGUCCAAGUUCUUGUCUUCCUUUUGAAUCAUUUGAAUCUCCAUUUGAAUCAAGUCCCCACAAACCUGGUGCUAUAGCUCCUCUGAGAUUGUUCUUACUCAAUCAACAGAACCCAAUUCACCUGGAAGCAAUGCUGGGGAAAUGCUGGCUGUUAACUCCAUUCCUCUCCAUAUGGCUCAGACAAACCGGGCAGCUCUUGGCACUUCAGCUUUUGUAGGACAAUGACAAGCUGGUGUACAUUUGAAGAAAGGGCCCUGACAAUUAUGCCAUAUGAAGAGGAGAUGACUUUGAGCAGAGAGAUGGAAAAGACAAGAAUUUAGCUUCCAACAUUGAUUUCAAAUAUCUGAAGGGUCAAUAAAUAGAGAAGGGACUUUAUUUUGAGUAAAUGCCUCUACUGAGCCCAUAUACAAUGGAAUUUUCAUUAAAAUCAGUUUGAGGCUUCUCAUGGGCAAUAUUCCUCAAAACUGGAAUGUGUUACUUCAUCAAGUGGUGAGCUCCCCAUCAAAGAGGGCAAGCAAGCACAGUUUGCAUACUCCCUCUAAUGCUCUAGAAGGUGUUUCUGCGUUUGAUAGGUCACCAACAAGGCAAAGCCCAAAGGCCUCCACAGCCUGAGAUCCUUGGCUUCAUUCCUGAGCUUUUUAAUAGGAAACAGAGGUCUGAUCCUGCUGACCUGCUGAAAGGGAGGAAAUGGAACUUGUUGACUGUUGCUUUUUUAAAACUGAAUUUGGAAGCAGGCAAAAAUAAAUCUAUUUUCAGAGCAGCAAAUGCCAACACAAUUUAUAUCAAAACUCCCAUCUGCUCAACUGAAAGGUAUUACGGACCAAGCAUUUCAUGAGCCAGCAACAGGCUUGCUUGUUGAAGAAUAUUAGCUCCAUAGAGACCACCCUAUUAGGCCCCUGAAUCUAACUCCUUGCUAUUGUGACCAUCACUAGUAAAUUGUAUUUUCCCUGACUCAAAGGCAGAUCAUUGCUUUUCAAAAGUCUUACAUACAAUUGAAAUGUUUAAAAUGUCACAUGUACAAAUAAAAUCUUCAUUAGAAAAAAAUUCAAAAAUAGAAAUAUAUUACAGUCCUAAGUUAUAUGAGCUGCUAUAACAGAUGAACCUUAAUAUUUCAAUGACCUAACAAAAUCAAGGUGUUUUUAUUGUUGAUGCCAUGGUUUAAAAUGAAUUGGCAGGGGCUCUGCCCCAUAUAAGUAUUCAAGACCCCAGGUUUCUUCCAUCUCAGGACUCUCCCAUCAAAUAUAUCACCCAGGGCCUUAGAGUUCUUUCCUGGGUUUUAGCAUCUGGACUUUAAAUGAAUGGAGAGCCCAAAGUUUCAUGCAGGAGGUUUAUCAAGGUGCCAGGCUUUGAAGUAAUGUUGACUAUUUUUCCCAUACUCCAUUUCCAUUGGUGCAAACUAAUCCCAAGGACUCUGUGGGACAAAAGAGGGCUGGGAGAUGUUGGUGAACACACAAAGUCUCUUCCCUAAGAAACAGAAGAUAGGACUUUCCAGGUGUGUCUGGAGAUGGAUACUACAAGUCUGUCAGUGAAAUUGGAGUCAAACAUCAUGUUCUACUAAGGCGGACAUUGAGGAUACUAAAGCAUCUUCAUCCCUAAAGGGAGAAAGCAGCAUUGGAGUCAUUCCUGUGCAAUCUGGUGAUGGAUAAAUGAAGCAUUUUUCAGGGCAGAGUUAAUAUGUCGGAAUGGCCAAUAUUUCAUUGUUUGUAGUUAGAAAAAGAAGAAGUAGGAACUUGGAUAGAAAGUUUUUCAAGCAAUCUUGGGAAAAAGAAACAAGCUGUCAUCCAAAGCUUGGAAUCCAAAACCGAGAGUGGCUGCCUUCCUUGAUGCUACACGAUGUCACCAAGAACAGACACACAGUAGCUUGCCCCUGCAUGUGAGCAGGCUUCUUUACCCUUCAGGAGAUUGGUACUGUUUUAACAGUUUCCAAGGCAUUUUGCUCCCUGGCCAUAUCAAAUUAGGCUGGGAGGUGGGAGUCACCUUGGCUUUGUUAUAAAUGAGCCUUCAGAUAUUAAAAAAAGAUGCUUAUCCACCUUCUAUAUGGAAAUGCCAGUUGCCAUUGAAAUCUCUUAUACCUUCAUGGUGAAUGAUGCGCACGAAAACGGCUAAAGGCUGUGGAGCCUUUUCUUUCUGAAAAGGUAAAAAGGUUUAUGUUCUCAAAAUCUGUCUCAAUUUCUCACACUGGACUCCAGUUCUAAAUCUUAAUGGGGCCACUCUGCAGGUGGCACAGUGAGGUAGGAAGAGUGAAAGAGGAAGCUGGUGCAUUGUGAGGGAUGUGAUCUGUCACAAAGGAGACAGCAACUACUCCUGAAAUAAAGCUACUGCCAUCAUCAACUCAUAUAACUGGACUGUCUAAGGUGCCUAAGUUUCUGGUUAUUUGAAGCUAACCAGAAAAAAAAUCUUUUGCUGUAAUCCCUAGAAAUUUAUCAUUAACUCAAAAUCCACAUUCCCAAACAAACAUAAUGAGUACAGUAGGGUCUUUGCUUGGACUGAGGGUUUCAGUGUCCUGGAUUUAAAUUCUUUAAAUAUUUAUUCCUAUCAGGUUGGCCCUAAACAUAAAUGAAUAUCAUACAAAAUUUGCUUCUAGCACCACCUGGACUCUGCCUCCCAUUUCUGUUUUCUAUCCUCUUCCUGCUCCCCUCUUAUCUGUCUCUGCACCCU